This 369-nucleotide ribosomal RNA is filed under the name uncultured bacterium. RNAcentral's name for it is "bacterial SSU rRNA". It matches the Rfam family "Bacterial small subunit ribosomal RNA", at positions 527 to 898 of the family's 1533-position model. The record is from RNAcentral.
GGAGGGUGCAAGCGUUAUCCGGAUUCACUGGGUUUAAAGGGUGCGUAGGCGGGUUGGUAAGUCCGUGGUGAAAUCUCCGAGCUUAACUCGGAAACUGCCGUGGAUACUAUCAAUCUUGAAUAUCGUGGAGGUAAGCGGAAUAUGUCAUGUAGCGGUGAAAUGCUUAGAUAUGACAUAGAACACCAAUUGCGUAGGCAGCUUACUACACGAUCAUUGACGCUGAGGCACGAAAGCGUGGGGAGCAAACAGGAUUAGAUACCCUGGUAGUCCACGCCCUAAACGAUGGAUACUCGACAUCAGCGAUACACUGUUGGUGUCUGAGCGAAAGCAUUAAGUAUCCCACCUGGGAAGUACGAUCGCAAGAUUGAA